GGGUUGUGAGGUUAAGCGACUAAGCGUACACGGUGGAUGCCUAGGCAGUCAGAGGCGAUGAAGGGCGUGCUAAUCUGCGAUAAGCGUCGGUAAGCUGAUAUGAAGCGUUAUACCCGACGAUACCCGAAUGGGGAAACCCAGUGUGUUUCGACACACUAUCAUUAUGUGAAUACAUAGCAUAAUGAGGCGAACCGGGGGAACUGAAACAUCUCAGUACCCCGAGGAAAAGAAAUCAACCGAGAUUCCCCCAGUAGCGGCGAGCGAACGGGGAGGAGCCCAGAACCUGAAUCAGUUUGUGUGUUAGUGGAAGCGUCUGGAAAGUCGCACAGUAAAGGGUGAUAGUCCCGUACACAAAAAUGCACAAGUUGUGAGUUCGAUGAGUAGGGCGGGACACGUGACAUCCUGUCUGAAUAUGGGGGGACCAUCCUCCAAGGCUAAAUACUCCUGACUGACCGAUAGUGAACCAGUACCGUGAGGGAAAGGCGAAAAGAACCCCGGCGAGGGGAGUGAAAUAGAACCUGAAACCGUGUACGUACAAGCAGUGGGAGCCUACUUGUUAGGUGACUGCGUACCUUUUGUAUAAUGGGUCAGCGACUUAUAUUCUGUAGCAAGGUUAACCGUAUAGGGGAGCCGCAGGGAAACCGAGUCUUAACUGGGCGUUAAGUUGCAGGGUAUAGACCCGAAACCCGGUGAUCUAGCCAUGGGCAGGUUGAAGGUUGGGUAACACUAACUGGAGGACCGAACCGACUAAUGUUGAAAAAUUAGCGGAUGACUUGUGGCUGGGGGUGAAAGGCCAAUCAAACCGGGAGAUAGCUGGUUCUCCCCGAAAGCUAUUUAGGUAGCGCCUCGUGAAUUCAUCUUCGGGGGUAGAGCACUGUUUCGGCUAGGGGGUCAUCCCGACUUACCAACCCGAUGCAAACUACGAAUACCGAAGAAUGUUAUCACGGGAGACACACGGCGGGUGCUAACGUUCGUCGUGAAGAGGGAAACAACCCAGACCGCCAGCUAAGGUCCCAAAGUCAUGGUUAAGUGGGAAACGAUGUGGGAAGGCAUAGACAGCCAGGAUGUUGGCUUAGAAGCAGCCAUCAUUUAAAGAAAGCGUAAUAGCUCACUGGUCGAGUCGGCCUGCGCGGAAGAUGUAACGGGGCUAAACCAUGCACCGAAGCUGCGGCAGCGACACUUAGGUGUUGUUGGGUAGGGGAGCGUUCUGUAAGCCUGCGAAGGUGGCCUGUGAGGGCUGCUGGAGGUAUCAGAAGUGCGAAUGCUGACAUAAGUAACGAUAAUGCGGGUGAAAAACCCGCACGCCGGAAGACCAAGGGUUCCUGUCCAACGUUAAUCGGGGCAGGGUGAGUCGACCCCUAAGGCGAGGCUGAAAAGCGUAGUCGAUGGGAAACAGGUUAAUAUUCCUGUACUCGGUGUUACUGCGAAGGGGGGACGGAGAAAGCUAGGUUAUCCGGGCGACGGUUGUCCCGGUUUAAGCGUGAAGGUGGAUGACUUUGGUAAAUCCGGGUCAUCAUUAACACUGAGGCGUGAUGACGAGUCACUACGGUGAUGAAGUAACCGAUGCUACGCUUCCAGGAAAAGCCUCUAAGCUCCAGGUAACAUCAAAUCGUACCCCAAACCGACACAGGUGGUCAGGUAGAGAAUACUCAGGCGCUUGAGAGAACUCGGGUGAAGGAACUAGGCAAAAUGGUGCCGUAACUUCGGGAGAAGGCACGCUGAUGGUAGGUGAAGUGACUUGCUCAUGGAGCUGAAAUCAGUCGAAGAUACCAGCUGGCUGCAACUGUUUAAUAAAAACACAGCACUGUGCAAACACGAAAGUGGACGUAUACGGUGUGACGCCUGCCCGGUGCCGGAAGGUUAAUUGAUGGGGUCAGCCGCAAGGCGAAGCUCUUGAUCGAAGCCCCGGUAAACGGCGGCCGUAACUAUAACGGUCCUAAGGUAGCGAAAUUCCUUGUCGGGUAAGUUCCGACCUGCACGAAUGGCGUAAUGAUGGCCAGGCUGUCUCCACCCGAGACUCAGUGAAAUUGAACUCGCUGUGAAGAUGCAGUGUACCCGCGGCAAGACGGAAAGACCCCGUGAACCUUUACUAUAGCUUGACACUGAACCUUGAGCCUUGAUGUGUAGGAUAGGUGGGAGGCUUUGAAGCGUGGACGCCAGUCUGCGUGGAGCCAACCUUGAAAUACCACCCUUUAAUGUUUGAUGUUCUAACGUGGACCCGUGAUCCGGGUUGCGGACAGUGUCUGGUGGGUAGUUUGACUGGGGCGGUCUCCUCCCAAAGCGUAACGGAGGAGCACGAAGGUUAGCUAAUCCUGGUCGGACAUCAGGAGGUUAGUGCAAAGGCAUAAGCUAGCUUGACUGCGAGAGUGACAGCUCGAGCAGGUGCGAAAGCAGGUCUUAGUGAUCCGGUGGUUCUGAAUGGAAGGGCCAUCGCUCAACGGAUAAAAGGUACUCCGGGGAUAACAGGCUGAUACCGCCCAAGAGUUCAUAUCGACGGCGGUGUUUGGCACCUCGAUGUCGGCUCAUCACAUCCUGGGGCUGAAGUAGGUCCCAAGGGUAUGGCUGUUCGCCAUUUAAAGUGGUACGCGAGCUGGGUUUAGAACGUCGUGAGACAGUUCGGUCCCUAUCUGCCGUGGGCGUUGGAAGAUUGAGAGGGGUUGCUCCUAGUACGAGAGGACCGGAGUGAACGCACCACUGGUGUACGGGUUGUGAUGCCAAUUGCAUUGCCCGGUAGCUAAGUGCGGAAGAGAUAACCGCUGAAAGCAUCUAAGCGGGAAACUUGCCUCGAGAUGAGUCUUCCCUGGACACUUGAUGUCCCUGAAGGGCCGUUGAAGACGACGACGUAGAUAGGCUGGGUGUGUAAGCGUAGCGAUACGUUGAGCUAACCAGUACUAAUGACCCGAGAGGCUUAACCUUACAACACCGAAGGUGUUU
Molecule: ribosomal RNA, 2934 nt
Filed under: Pectobacterium brasiliense
Lineage: Bacteria; Pseudomonadati; Pseudomonadota; Gammaproteobacteria; Enterobacterales; Pectobacteriaceae
Description: 23S ribosomal RNA
Rfam family: Bacterial large subunit ribosomal RNA
Source: RNAcentral